Polistes canadensis is the source of this 2480-nucleotide long non-coding RNA. RefSeq lists it as uncharacterized. NCBI's taxonomy places the organism in Eukaryota, Metazoa, Arthropoda, Insecta, Hymenoptera, Vespidae. The transcript is spliced from 7 exons. The record is from RefSeq and is a predicted model, not a curated record.
AAAAAGGAAAAAGAAUUUUGACACGUAUCAUACAUGCAGCCUUGAAUUAUCGAGAAAAAGAAAGAAAAUGUUUAAAUAUCUUUGUCUCACAUCAGUGCUAAUGGAAUUAAAUGCCGCGACGAUAUUUCCCUUGCAAAUACGAAGAUUAGUCUAUACUUGUCAAGGAUGAAUACUGGAAAUCACUCAUGCAAUUGUGGACAUUCUAUUUGGUUCACGGUGGAAGAGAAAAACCGAGAGAACAAAAAUAGAACAUCAAAGAUAUCUCUGUACUUUUGUAAUCGUUGUAAAAUCUUCAAGAGGAUCUUGGCUAUUCCAAGUAGAAGAAAAGGAAAAUGUAAGGAACGACAGAGUUCGUGAUUCGCACGAAAGAUUCUUCUCCGUGUCUGGAAGAGAAACGUCGACGGCAUAAAGAAUCGAUUCUUCGGAGUCCAGCGACCCUUUAGCUUCGUCCGCAAAUCGAAAACGUCGUUGACCAUUGAAUGCGUCUGGGAUGCAUCUGUAUAUGCAUUGUAUCUGUGUAUAUUGAUGACAUCUACAGGGUGUUCUCAUUCAACAUCCCAAAAAGUUUCUCGAGAUCUUGAACGAAGUCGGGAUGAGCGUAGGUCGUCGCCGAAGAAACGAAAUAAAAAUUCCAUAAGUUUAUAGAGAAGAAGAAGAAGACGACGAUGAGGGGGAAGUAAAGUAGGAGGAGUAGGCGCCGCUGGGUAAUCGACCGAUCGAGUUUGACCGGAGUUGAUCGUCGGACGACCUUGGAAAAUAUCGUCUCUCUCGAAGGUUCAUUUAAAAGCUACAAAGUUCCGACCAUUGAUUUUACUAGACCGAGUUGGAAAGUUUUGAAAGGAAAGCUUACUUUCUUCUACUACCGUGGCAACAUUAACAUUAUUAUGGUACACUUGUGUCACCGGUUAAACGAAUAAGAUAUCAGCAAGAGGAUGAGGAUAUUACAUAAACUUCUCUCUAUCGCAUCCGGAAAUACAAACUGAUAUGUAUCCUGUUCCUCUAUAUGCAUUUCAAGAACUUGUAUGUCAUCAUCUGAUUCCAGAAGAAGAAAACGGAUAGAUAAGAUGCUGUACCAAGAAAAAUAAUCUAAAUGGCUAUCGUACAGACAGAUGUCUUAAACAACGCUAUAUAAUAAUUAUAAGCGAACAGUUUGAUUAAUAAUUACAUCAUCAAUGUAAUAAGAUACUUGAAUCAUCCAGAUUCAAUUAUUCAAGAAGCAUAAAUCAUCGUGAUCGUGAUCAUCAUCUUAUCCACUGAAUAGAAGAUAAAGAAAAAACAACAACAACAACACAUGCAGCUAAUUGUAGAAAAAAGGAGAAACGGAAGGGAUUGUAUUAUUGGUCGACGAGCUUCCGGUUUGAAGCCCUCUCUCUACGCGGAGACCAUUCUAAGCAUUUGCUUGGCCUCCUCCGUUACACCUACGCACGUAUAAAAAGACUUCGUUUACAAAUCAAAGUAAACAGUAUCGUCAUUGGGAGAAGUAAAACAUUCACUUACGAAGAAGCGUGUCAUGUAUACGAAUGUUAUUAUGUACGAGCUGCUUGUAAGACGUGGAAGAACGCACGCGUAGAAAACGAAUUUCGUACACCUGGUCGUAUUAGAAGAUAUUCGAUAAACGUAUUUAGAUAAGAAACAAGUGAUUUACAAAGCAAGUGAUGACAUAGAAAGAAAAUCAACGUUCGUUUAGGAAAAAGCCGUGGCUCAUUUAAAAACAUUGUUUAUCAGCUUGCUAGACUUAGAAAAAGAAGGCAAAAGAAGAAGAAGAAGCAAUCGAAUAUAAUCAUUCGAGAAACGUUUCGUUCGCAUCAGCUUAAUGACCGUAUAAAGGGUGCUACGUGCGUGUUUGUUAUCUGGCUGCACCCUUUUCCUCUUCGAAAUUUGUCUCGCUCGUCUUUGUCGCAUACGUCUACCAUACUGACUAGUCCCGUUUUAUUUAAGUUUUUUUUGUCUUUCGUUGCUCGUAUACUAUGGCUCUACAUAUGACAUACAUAUACGCAUAUAUACGUCUGUUAUUUUAGGAGCAGAAGCUCAAGUAAACUUCGAACUUUUUUUUCUAACAAAGUUUAGAAAUCAUCUUUUUCCUUGCAAGUAUAGAUUAUAUAUUUGUCGGAUUAGAAUUAAACUAUAGAUUGAUAAAAAUUGUUUAGAAAAUCAAGGGUCAUUUAAUUAUGUCGUAAAUGAUAUUGCAAGUUGUUAUUUUUAUGUAGAAAAAUGGGAAAGUUUGCAAACAUACGUCGCGGUAUGCAUGUAACAGGUGUAGAGUAUGUAUGUAUCUAUGUAAUACAAUAGCUAUAGAUUACAGAGAACGGUAGACGUUCUACGCACGAAGCAGAAGCCAACACGCGAGUAAAGCUUGAAAUUGUUUGUUGUAUUUAUGAUUUACAUAGAGAUAAGCGGAUAUCGGGUGAACGUUUCUAUCUAAGAAGGGGUUAACUCUUCAUAGAUAAUAAUUAUAAUAACGUUAAUAUAUGUACAAUAUA